CCCCCCAAGUAAUUUUCACAUAUUCCUUCAUAUACUUUUCGAAGUGCAUAAUCAGCCUAGCUCCAAUGGUUUCAAACAUCGAAGUAGAGGAAGUGAAUAAGAUUUUUUGUAUAACUGAUCUCCCUAAAGAACAUACCAUGAAGCUUGUCUUUUAAUGCUUCUAGCUUUAACUAGAUCAUCAGGCAAAAUUUCUUUUGUUAUAUAGUCCCCA
Molecule: long non-coding RNA, 211 nt
Filed under: Elaeis guineensis (African oil palm)
Lineage: Eukaryota; Viridiplantae; Streptophyta; Magnoliopsida; Arecales; Arecaceae
Description: long non-coding RNA (EGUI_LNC007543)
Source: RNAcentral